CAGGACUUUUACUGGAAAUUCUGAAACAUGGGCCCUCUGUUUCUCCAGCAAACAUGGUGUGCAGAAGCAGUGCCAGGAACUGCUGCAGUGAUUUUGCUGCCACGUGGCAAGGCAGCCUGAGUACACAAUCGUCACACUGACAAGGUCAGAUCUUACACCCUCACAGAUAGCCAGCCUUCUGAUUGAGCCUGUCACCUGUCCAGUAAUUCCUCUUUAUUGUUUCAUCAUCUCAGGCCAAGAGAGACACUGGCUACUUUGACCGCUUUAAAGUGGACUCCAGGAAUGUCAACAAGAGCCUGCUGUUUUGCAAUCAAAUCCAGCAACGGAAACUUCACUGUUUUCUGCAGUAAAGUUCAAGCAAUCAUCACUGGACUGCACAAGACCUACUGUUCUGGUAUAGGAGAUACAGUGGUGAACUCUUUGACCUCAGGGACUUUCUAAGUGAGGAGACAGAUGUUAUAAUAUCGGACAGAAACAAGUUUUACAAGCAAAUAACUGCAUAGCAUGUUCCUGCGGCCAUGUUAACCUACCUAAGUGGAGACACCAAGCUGGCAUAGCAGCUGCGAUUGGAGAUGUGACUUAGUGGGGUAUGGAGCAGUCUACAGUCACUUCCCAGAAUCCUUCCAGUUUCUGCAGGGGUGACAGCGGUGACUUAAACUGAGAUAUGAUGUUAAGCAAACCUUUUGUUGGGUACCUAUUUUGCCCCUUGGGACACCAUCUUCAAUUGGCCAUCCCUGCAACUCUGAGAGUCAAAUGCUCUUGACUGCCUCUCUUACCUGGCUUCCAGUGACUGAAUGCCAUCACCUGGCCUCUACUCUUAUGAAGGAAUCCUGCUCGGUGACCAGGUAUUGGCCUACAGAACAGAGCCAUCACUGGACCUCCUAGCGAUGCUGCUGUUCCUCGCUGGCCAGCACAUUCUGAAUUGCCUAGGUGAACGGUGUGUUCUCUGGUGUUCUUCUGGCCUCACU
Odocoileus virginianus texanus is the source of this 968-nucleotide non-coding RNA. The record is from RefSeq and is a predicted model, not a curated record. Lineage: Eukaryota; Metazoa; Chordata; Mammalia; Artiodactyla; Cervidae.